Molecule: ribosomal RNA, 413 nt
Filed under: uncultured bacterium
Lineage: Bacteria
Description: bacterial SSU rRNA
Rfam family: Bacterial small subunit ribosomal RNA
Source: RNAcentral
UGGGGAAUAUUGCACAAUGGGGGAACCCUGAUGCAGCGACGCCGCGUGAAGGAAGAAGUAUUUCGGUAUGUAAACUUCUAUCAGCAGGGAAGAAAAUGACGGUACCUGACUAAGAAGCCCCGGCUAACUACGUGCCAGCAGCCGCGGUAAUACGUAGGGGGCAAGCGUUAUCCGGAUUUACUGGGUGUAAAGGGAGCGUAGACGGUAGUGCAAGUCUGAAGUGAAAGGCGGGGGCCCAACCCCGGCACUGCUUUGGAAACUGUGCUGCUAGAGUGCAGGAGAGGUAAGUGGAAUUCCUAGUGUAGCGGUGAAAUGCGUAGAUAUUAGGAGGAACACCAGUGGCGAAGGCGGCUUACUGGACUGUAACUGACGUUGAGGCUCGAAAGCGUGGGGAGCAAACAGGAUUAGAUACC